RNAcentral lists this unclassified non-coding RNA (20 nucleotides) under Gambierdiscus polynesiensis. RNAcentral's name for it is "trans-spliced leader sequence DinoSL". Lineage: Eukaryota; Dinophyceae; Gonyaulacales; Pyrocystaceae. The record is from RNAcentral.
UCCGUAGCCAUUUUGGCUCA